UCAGGCACCUUUUGCUCCAGCCAGAGGCAAGAUCGUUGACAGCUAGGACCGGCUGGAUUGCGCUCCAUCACUUUACAUUACUAUACACACUCCAUCGCCCAAUUGUUAGUUUGUGACUAAGCCUUCUCUUGUCUCCAUUAGCAUUCAAAUUUCGUUCUUCAUCUAUAAUAUCUAAAUAGCUUUUCUUUCUUUGAAGAGUGUUACCAUCAUGGUGCCUUCUCCAGCUCCUAGGACUGUACAAUUAAAAUGUGGAAGAUUUCAAAGGAAGCUGAUGUGUGAAUUGAAGGGGAAUGGGCACUGGUUAAAUCUCUUGCAGUGUGCUUCACCUCCGGAGGAAAUUAAGCAAGGGUAAGACUGCGUACAUCUGUCCCUCUCAGACCUCACAUUGGUGGCUCCUAUACAAGCAAUAUGGGGAAACAUUGCCACUGCUUUCUCAGUCGGGCACUCUGGCUCUUUCAUUUUAGGUAGUUUAGUGAAAAAGCCAGAGUGCCCGACUGAGAAAGCAGUGGCAUCGGUGACUCAGUGUUGUAGCCUUGUAGGGGGGCAUAAAAGGGACUGGGAUCGGCAUUGUCGUCAGACAAGAUUGUGGAGCCGAAGUGGGCACCACUGGUUCCUGGAAUUCAAACACUAAAGAGGAUGCAAACAACCACUCAUGCUAUAUAAAGAGAAGCAAAGUUACAUGUAUUUUGCUCGCCUUGGUUAUAUAGUACAGGCCACAAAGUUAAUUGUAUAAUAUCAAUUUAUAUUUUUAUCCUUUACUUACACACGACGUACAUAAGUUAUAUUAGUUGCUUAAAUGGAAAUUUUUG
This is a non-coding RNA of Nelumbo nucifera (sacred lotus), 809 nucleotides long. NCBI's taxonomy places the organism in Eukaryota, Viridiplantae, Streptophyta, Magnoliopsida, Proteales, Nelumbonaceae. The record is from RefSeq and is a predicted model, not a curated record.